Molecule: transfer RNA, 86 nt
Filed under: Atopobiaceae bacterium
Lineage: Bacteria; Bacillati; Actinomycetota; Coriobacteriia; Coriobacteriales; Atopobiaceae
Description: tRNA-Leu
Rfam family: tRNA
About the family: Transfer RNA (tRNA) molecules are approximately 80 nucleotides in length. Their secondary structure includes four short double-helical elements and three loops (D, anti-codon, and T loops). Further hydrogen bonds mediate the characteristic L-shaped molecular structure. tRNAs have two regions of fundamental functional importance: the anti-codon, which is responsible for specific mRNA codon recognition, and the 3' end, to which the tRNAs corresponding amino acid is attached (by aminoacyl-tRNA synthetases). tRNAs cope with the degeneracy of the genetic code in two manners: having more than one tRNA (with a specific anti-codon) for a particular amino acid; and 'wobble' base-pairing, i.e. permitting non-standard base-pairing at the 3rd anti-codon position.
Source: RNAcentral
GCGGGCGUGGUGGAAUUGGCAGACACGCUGGAUUUAGGUUCCAGUGGGGAUACCCCGUGAAGGUUCGAGUCCUUUCGCCCGCACCA